AGAGGGUGCAAGCGUUAAUCGGAAUUACUGGGCGUAAAGGGUGCGUAGGUGGUUUGUUAAGUCAGGCGUGAAAUCCUCGGGCUCAACCUGGGAACUGCGCUUGAUACUGGCAGACUCGAGUGUGGUAGAGGAUAGUGGAAUUCCCGGUGUAGCGGUGAAAUGCGUAGAUAUCGGGAGGAACAUCAGUGGCGAAGGCGGCUAUCUGGACUAACACUGACACUGAGGCACGAAAGCGUGGGUAGCAAACAGGAUUAGAUACCCUGGUAGUCCACGCCCUAAACGAUGGGAACUAGACGUCGGGAAGCUGGUCUUCUUGGUGUCGCAGCUAACGCAAUAAGUUCCCCGCCUGGGGAGUACGGUCGCAAGAAA
Molecule: ribosomal RNA, 369 nt
Filed under: uncultured bacterium
Lineage: Bacteria
Description: bacterial SSU rRNA
Rfam family: Bacterial small subunit ribosomal RNA
Source: RNAcentral